AACGAACGCUGGCGGCAUGCCUAACACAUGCAAGUCGAACGAGACCUUCGGGUCUAGUGGCGCACGGGUGCGUAACGCGUGGGAACCUGCCCUUAGGUUCGGAAUAACUCCCCGAAAGGGGUGCUAAUACCGGAUAAUGUCUUCGGACCAAAGAUUUAUCGCCUUUGGAUGGGCCCGCGUUGGAUUAGCUAGUUGGUAGGGUAAAAGCCUACCAAGGCGACGAUCCAUAGCUGGUCUGAGAGGAUGAUCAGCCACACUGGGACUGAGACACGGCCCAGACUCCUACGGGAGGCAGCAGUGGGGAAUAUUGGACAAUGGGCGAAAGCCUGAUCCAGCAAUGCCGCGUGAGUGAUGAAGGCCUUAGGGUUGUAAAGCUCUUUUAGCCGGGAUGAUAAUGACGGUACCGGGAGAAUAAGCUCCGGCUAACUCCGUG
Molecule: ribosomal RNA, 433 nt
Filed under: uncultured bacterium
Lineage: Bacteria
Description: partial 16S ribosomal RNA
Rfam family: Bacterial small subunit ribosomal RNA
Source: RNAcentral